AUACGGAGGGUGCAAGCGUUAUCCGGAUUUAUUGGGUUUAAAGGGUCCGUAGGCGGAUCUGUAAGUCAGUGGUGAAAUCUCAUAGCUUAACUAUGAAACUGCCAUUGAUACUGCAGGUCUUGAGUAAGGGAGAAGUAGCUGGAAUAAGUAGUGUAGCGGUGAAAUGCAUAGAUAUUACUUAGAACACCAAUUGCGAAGGCAGGUUACUAUGUCUUAACUGACGCUGAUGGACGAAAGCGUGGGGAGCGAACAGGAUUAGAUACCCCAGUAGUCC
Molecule: ribosomal RNA, 274 nt
Filed under: uncultured bacterium
Lineage: Bacteria
Description: partial 16S ribosomal RNA
Rfam family: Bacterial small subunit ribosomal RNA
Source: RNAcentral